This 823-nucleotide ribosomal RNA is filed under the name Podosphaera xanthii. RNAcentral describes it as "eukaryotic LSU rRNA". It matches the Rfam family "Eukaryotic large subunit ribosomal RNA", at positions 82 to 924 of the family's 3401-position model. Lineage: Eukaryota; Fungi; Ascomycota; Leotiomycetes; Helotiales; Erysiphaceae. The record is from RNAcentral.
AGUAACGGCGAGUGAAGCGGUAACAGCUCAAAUUUGAAAUCUGGCUCCUCGGGGCCCGAAUUGUAAUUUGUAGAAGAUGCUUUGGGUCUGGGCCUGGCCUAAGUUCCUUGGAACAGGACGUCGUAGAGGGUGAGAAUCCCGUAUGCGGCUGGCGCCCGUGCCCGUGUAAAGCUCUUUCAACGAGUCGAGUUGUUUGGGAAUGCAGCUCUAAAUGGGUGGUAAAUUUCAUCUAAAGCUAAAUAUUGGCCAGAGACCGAUAGCGCACAAGUAGAGUGAUCGAAAGAUGAAAAGCACUUUGGAAAGAGAGUUAAACAGUACGUGAAAUUGUUGAAAGGGAAGCGCUGGCAACCAGACUUGGGCGCUGUUGAUCCGCUAGGGUUCUCUCUAGGGCACUCGGCAGUGCGCAGGCCAGCAUCGGUUUGGGGGGUUGGAGAAUGGCUGGUGGAAUGUGGCUGUCUUCGGGCAGUGUUAUAGCCACCGGUGGCAUGCAGCCUCCCCGGACCGAGGACCGCGCUUCGGCUAGGAUGCUGGCGUAAUGGUUGUCAGCGACCCGUCUUGAAACACGGACCAAGGAGUCUAACAUCUAUGCGAGUGUUUGGGUGUUAAACCCAUACGCGGAAUGAAAGUGAACGUAGGUGAGAACCCGCGAGGGUGCAUCAUCGACCGAUCCUGAUGUCUUCGGAUGGAUUUGAGUAAGAGCAUAGCUGUUGGGACCCGAAAGAUGGUGAACUAUGCCUGAAUAGGGUGAAGCCAGAGGAAACUCUGGUGGAGGCUCGCAGCGGUUCUGACGUGCAAAUCGAUCGUCAAAUUUGGGUAUAGGGGC